Molecule: transfer RNA, 73 nt
Filed under: Vicugna pacos (alpaca)
Lineage: Eukaryota; Metazoa; Chordata; Mammalia; Artiodactyla; Camelidae
Also listed under: 1 other name
Rfam family: tRNA
About the family: Transfer RNA (tRNA) molecules are approximately 80 nucleotides in length. Their secondary structure includes four short double-helical elements and three loops (D, anti-codon, and T loops).
Source: Rfam by way of RNAcentral
GAGGGUAUAGCUCAAGUGGUAGAAUGCAUGCUUGGCAUGCAUGAGGUCCUGGGUUCAAUCCCCAGUACCUCCU